This is a non-coding RNA of Trichechus manatus latirostris (Florida manatee), 945 nucleotides long. Lineage: Eukaryota; Metazoa; Chordata; Mammalia; Sirenia; Trichechidae. The record is from the annotation of a RefSeq genome assembly.
AACAAUGGGCUAAAAGAUAGCAAUGACUGUGAGGAUGGUGCAGGACCUGGCAGUAUUUUGUUCUGUUGUCCACAGGGUCACUAUGAGUCAGAACUGACUGGAUGGUACCUAAUAUCAACACUUUGUCUAAUUAACUGUGGAGGAAAUCUCUCCCCAUUUCUCUUUUUGAGAAUUUGAAGGGUACAUGAAGCAUGGAAUUACCUGCAGUAUCGGAUUUGGCCCCUAGAGGGAGAUGCUACACAAAUUGAACUUUGUGUAAAGGGGAACCAGGAGCAGAAAGCAACCAGGCCCUUUGAAGAAGAGCUUUUUGCUUUAAGUGCUAGGUAAACUCACCCACCACUCUGUUAGAGUGUCCGUGUGGCUGAGUUGUUUCCAGAAAAAACCUCCGGAAAAGAGCCUCCUGUUUCCCCACAGUUCAGACAUGAAACUCACCCUCAUCUCUGUGCUUGUGAUGAUCUUCACACUCAGAGGAACAAGAGCCCAGAGAGUGACUCAGCCUGAGGACCACAUCUUUGUGUUUGAAGGGGCCCCAGUGAAAAUAAAGUGCAACUACUCAUAUUCUGGGAGUCCUGUUCUCUCCUGGUAUGUCCAGUAUCCCAAGAAAGGACUCCAGUUACUUCUGGGGCACAUUUCAGGAGACAGCAUCAAAGGUUUCUCGGCUGACCUUGACAAGGGUAAGAUGACCUUCCAUCUGAAGAAACCAUCAGCUCAAGAGGAAGACUCAGCCAUGUAUUACUGUGCUGUGAGUGACACAGUGACUGGUGUUGCAUGGGAAACAGAGCACAAACCCUCUAGGGCUUACAAAAAUUGUGUUUUGUAAGGUGUUUAUCUGGCCACAGUGAGGCAGUUCUUCUCUAUAGACUGACACUGAGUUUACCUCUUAGAUACAGUAUUUUCAGUUGUUAGCUAUCUAUUAACUUGAAAAUGUUGUGGAAGAAAAUUCUU